This 253-nucleotide ribosomal RNA is filed under the name uncultured bacterium. RNAcentral describes it as "partial 16S ribosomal RNA". It matches the Rfam family "Bacterial small subunit ribosomal RNA", at positions 524 to 776 of the family's 1533-position model. The record is from RNAcentral.
UACGGAGGGUGCAAGCGUUAGUCGGAAUUACUGGGCGUAAAGCGUGCGCAGGCGGUUUGUUAAGUCUGCUGUGAAAUCCCCGAGCUCAACUUGGGAAUUGCAGUGGAUACUGGCAGGCUGGAGUAUGGUAGAGGAAGGUGGAAUUCCCGGUGUAGCAGUGAAAUGCGUAGAGAUCGGGAGGAACACCAGUGGCGAAGGCGGCCUUCUGGACCAAUACUGACGCUCAUGCACGAAAGCGUGGGGAGCAAACAGG